GAUGAACGCUGGCGGCGUGCCUAAUACAUGCAAGUCGAGCGAACGGACGAGAAGCUUGCUUUUCUGAUGUUAGCGGCGGACGGGUGAGUAACACGUGGAUAACCUACCUAUAAGACUGGGAUAACUUCGGGAAACCGGAGCUAAUACCGGAUAAUAUUUUGAACCGCAUGGUUCAAAAGUGAAAGACGGUCUUGCUGUCACUUAUAGAUGGAUCCGCGCUGCAUUAGCUAGUUGGUAAGGUAACGGCUUACCAGGGCAACGAUGCAUAGCCGACCUGAGAGGGUGAUCGGCGACACUGGAACUGAGACGCGGUCCUGACUCCUACGGGAGGCAGCAGUAGGGAAUCUUCCGCAAUGGGCGAAAGCCUGACGGAGCAACGCCGCGUGAGUUAUGAAGGUCUUCGGAUCGUAAAACUCUGUUAUUAGUGAAGAACAUAUGUGUAAGGAACUGUGCACAUCUUGACGGUACCUAAUCAGAAAGCCACGGCUAACUACGUG
Molecule: ribosomal RNA, 497 nt
Filed under: uncultured bacterium
Lineage: Bacteria
Description: partial 16S ribosomal RNA
Rfam family: Bacterial small subunit ribosomal RNA
Source: RNAcentral